This 253-nucleotide ribosomal RNA is filed under the name uncultured bacterium. RNAcentral describes it as "partial 16S ribosomal RNA". It matches the Rfam family "Bacterial small subunit ribosomal RNA", at positions 524 to 776 of the family's 1533-position model. The record is from RNAcentral.
UACAGAGGGGGCAAGCGUUGUUCGGAAUCACUGGGCUUAAAGGGCGCGUAGGCGGGUGCUCAAGUCCGGGGUGAAAUCCUCCAGCUCAACUGGAGAACUGCCUCGGAUACUGGGUGCCUCGAGGGUGGUAGGGGUAUGCGGAACUAUCGGUGGAGCGGUGAAAUGCGUUGAUAUCGAUAGGAACUCCGGUGGCGAAGGCGGCAUACUGGACCACUUCUGACGCUGAGGCGCGAAAGCCAGGGGAGCAAACGGG